RNAcentral lists this ribosomal RNA (497 nucleotides) under uncultured bacterium. Its description in RNAcentral is "partial 16S ribosomal RNA". It matches the Rfam family "Bacterial small subunit ribosomal RNA", at positions 28 to 507 of the family's 1533-position model. The record is from RNAcentral.
GAUGAACGCUGGCGGCGUGCCUAAUACAUGCAAGUCGAGCGAACGGACGAGAAGCUUGCUUCUCUGAUGUUAGCGGCGGACGGGUGAGUAACACGUGGAUAACCUACCUAUAAGACUGGGAUAACUUCGGGAAACCGGAGCUAAUACCGGCUAAUAUUUUGAACCGCAUUGUUCAAAAGUGAAAGACGGUCUUGCUGUCACUUAUAGAUGGAUCCGCGCUGCAUUAGCUAGUUGGUAAGGUAACGGCUUACCAAGGCAACGAUGCAUAGCCGACCUGAGAGGGUGAUAGGCAACACUGGAACUGAGACAGGGUCCAGACUCCUACGGGAGGCAGCAUAAGGGAAUCUUCGGCAAUGAGCGAAAUCCUGCCGGAGCAACGCCGCGUGAGUGAUGAAGGUCUUCGGAUCGUAAAACUCUGUUAUUAGGGAAAAACAGAUGUGUAAGUAACUGUGCACAUCUUGACGGUACCUAAUCAGAAAGCCACGGCUAAAUACGUU